UCCAAGUUCAUUUUUUGUCAUAUAGCGGAAAAGCAGUGCGUGAACUUGGAACACGCCUAAGUAAACUUAUUCAAAUACGUCUUUUCUAUUUAUAUGCAAAGACUCGUGUAAAAUUGCGAAGAGAAGUUGCUCUGCUAAUGUUGGUGUACGGGCAUAUCUGCCAAGAUAUUAACCUGGACCCGGAUAAAAAUGUGGACUGCAGGCCCUCCACCGAACACUUACUGAAAAAGAAGCUCAAUAAAGAGAGAGGCCUUCCACUUCGUCACAUUUGGACUACCCCUACUGAGACCAUUUGUAUAACUAGAACCAAAACUUAGGAACCAGGAAAAGAAAAACAAAGAGGAUGCUCGCAAUCCUAACUGAUACUUCGAUUAAAGAAGCCCAAAGACAAGAGCAUUUAGAAGUUACAAAGUAAAAAGCACAAUGGGCAGGGCAAAACAAAAAAAAGAAAUUACCCAAAAAUUUCCAAGUUUCUAUUGAAGCAGAACUAGAAGACAAAAGAAAAAAGCAUGAAACCAAAAACUGCGACAGGAAAAAAAUUAGAACACUCUGUAAAAAGGAAAUUAGUGAGCUUUGCUGAUGACGAAGUAGAAAAUUGUGCUUGCAUCUAUUUUUUGAAAGCACAUAACCAAUCCAAAAAAAAAGGACAAGACAGGGCUCAAUGUCUUAGGUGUCAAAACAUGAUUCCAUGACAAGUACGUGAAAAUAAAACUCUUUAUUUUUGUUGGCAAAAUCUUACAGUGAUGAAGAAGAUGACUAAAUAGUUUCGGUUUUUAAGUAGCUGUAAACCCUAUGAAUUUA
Long non-coding RNA from Uloborus diversus, 801 nucleotides. RefSeq lists it as uncharacterized. The record is from RefSeq and is a predicted model, not a curated record. The transcript has 3 exons. Lineage: Eukaryota; Metazoa; Arthropoda; Arachnida; Araneae; Uloboridae.